AGUGCUACGCGUGAGUUGACCGCCUGGGGAGUACGGUCGCAAGAUUAAAACUCAAAGGAAUUGACGGGGACCCGCACAAGCGGUGGAUGAUGUGGAUUAAUUCGAUGCAACGCGAAAAACCUUACCUACCCUUGACAUGGUCGGAAUCCUNGAGAGAUCUGGGAGUGCUCGAAAGAGAACCGAUACACAGGUGCUGCAUGGCUGUCGUCAGCUCGUGUCGUGAGAUGUUGGGUUAAGUCCCGCAACGAGCGCAACCCUUGUCCUUAGUUGCUACGCAAGAGCACUCUAGGGAGACUGCCGGUGACAAACCGGAGGAAGGUGGGGAUGACGUCAAGUCCUCAUGGCCCUUAUGGGUAGGGCUUCACACGUCAUACAAUGGUCGGAACAGAGGGUCGCCAACCCGCGAGGGGGAGCUAAUCCCAGAAAACGGAUCGGAAUUCGGAUUGCACUCUGCAUCUCGAGUGCAUGAAGUUGGUAUCGAAAUGAAAUCCCAAA
Molecule: ribosomal RNA, 495 nt
Filed under: Burkholderia gladioli
Lineage: Bacteria; Pseudomonadati; Pseudomonadota; Betaproteobacteria; Burkholderiales; Burkholderiaceae
Description: bacterial SSU rRNA
Rfam family: Bacterial small subunit ribosomal RNA
Source: RNAcentral